RNAcentral lists this ribosomal RNA (491 nucleotides) under uncultured bacterium. Its description in RNAcentral is "partial 16S ribosomal RNA". It matches the Rfam family "Bacterial small subunit ribosomal RNA", at positions 29 to 507 of the family's 1533-position model. The record is from RNAcentral.
GUGCACGCUGGCGGUAGGCCUAACACAUGCAAGUCGAACGGCAGCACAGUAAGAGCUUGCUCUUACGGGUGGCGAGUGGCGGACGGGUGAGGAAUACAUCGGAAUCUACUUUUUCGUGGGGGAUAACGUAGGGAAACUUACGCUAAUACCGCAUACGACCUACGGGUGAAAGUAGGGGAUCUUCGGACCUUGCGCGAUUGAAUGAGCCGAUGUCGGAUUAGCUAGUUGGCGGGGUAAAGGCCCACCAAGGCGACGAUCCGUAGCUGGUCUGAGAGGAUGAUCAGCCACACUGGAACUGAGACACGGUCCAGACUCCUACGGGAGGCAGCAGUGGGGAAUAUUGGACAAUGGGCGCAAGCCUGAUCCAGCCAUACCGCGUGGGUGAAGAAGGCCUUCGGGUUGUAAAGCCCUUUUGUUGGGAAAGAAAAGCAGCAGGUUAAUACCCCGCUGUUCUGACGGUACCCAAAGAAUAAGCACCGGCUAACUUCGUG